This 91-nucleotide small nucleolar RNA is filed under the name Ipomoea nil (Japanese morning glory). RNAcentral describes it as "Small nucleolar RNA R21". It matches the Rfam family "Small nucleolar RNA R21". Rfam says of the family: snoR21 is a member of the C/D class of snoRNA which contain the C (UGAUGA) and D (CUGA) box motifs. Most of the members of the box C/D family function in directing site-specific 2'-O-methylation of substrate RNAs. Lineage: Eukaryota; Viridiplantae; Streptophyta; Magnoliopsida; Solanales; Convolvulaceae. The record is from Rfam by way of RNAcentral.
UUCCCCUAUGAUGAAUUUUUCAAUUAAAAUGUUAAAAGUAGUGGACUGAAUGAUAUGCAUUUUGCGGAUAAAUAUGAAAUUCUGAGGGGUU